CCAGGGUUCUAUGUUCUCUCAGGAUAGUGCAUGUGAGAAAGUGAAACUAGGUCACUGAGCCAACACAAAGAAACCAUAUUAAAGAACUUUGACUCCACUUUACAAAGCACUUAUUAUAAAUGAGUAGUAUUUAUUGCUUUAUUCAACAACAAAAAACAUGUACGAUUCAAACAAGGUGUGAAAAGUCUCGAGGAUGUCAAUCCAUCAGGGUGCACUGCCUCACUGGCAGUCAGCCAGGGCUUGUCCAUAAAUAAGCCAUAUGAUUCUUGUGGUUGUUGUAUCCAUCAUUUCUCCAGGGGUGCAUAAUUCAGCAACUUCUCAAUGAGGUCUACAUGAGCCAGCAGCAUCCUCCGACAGCAAUACCUCUUCAGACCAAGAGCAUCAAGGGCAUCACUGCCAACCAAACAAAAGGGAGACACUAGAGUUUGUAAUAGGCUACUCCUGAUAAACCUAUGUAGCUACUAAUGAAAUAAGUGAACACUACAAUAUUUGGAGAAAGAGAUUAAUCUUAGGGAAAUACAAUGUAAACCAUGACCACAGCAGACAUGUCUCUCACCCUUCAGUGUAUUCAGCUUGAAGGAGGCCAAGGUACGCCUCCCAUUUAUUCCCAACGAUUUUCCCACAGGUGAAGCACCGGACCGGGAUAAUCAUUUUGAUCCGAUCGACUGGGGCCCUGAAAACAAAUUAUGAAAAAAUUUAUGCACUCUACUGUAAAUUGCUCUGAAUAAGAACAUCUGCUAAAUGACAAACGGCAGAUUUGAAGAAAAAUGUAGAUAUUCAACGAAAAAUGCAUAACUACAUGAAACAGCAUAGCCUACCAAUUUUGUAGAUAACUUGCCAGCUAUGUUUUACUGACGCUCAGUCUUAGCGCGGGCAUGUCAACAAGCGUGCUAGCUAGCUACACAGUACUAGCUAGCGCACACGUUUUCAAACCCUUUGCAUAGAGCUAGCUAGUUAACCAAAAAGUGUUAGCACACAACAUAGACAUGUUUUAUAUCAUGGCGAAAUAUAGACUCAAACAAUAAAGCCGUUAUUGACUCACUGUUCCGUAGUAACCCUUGCAAACAGACAAGAAAGCACACAGGAAUAACAUGUAGCUAACGCGCGUCGCUCCUCCGUCAAUACCGGGGCCAAUGUUGCCAACUCCUCAGUAAGGAAAGUAGCUAUUGGCUGUCCUAAAAGUAGCGAGAAGUCGCUAAAUUACGUCAUCACCUAAUUUGUAUAAUUGGCAUGUAAUUGUGAUGGAAGCUGUAGGAGAGAGGAAUAACGUCGUGGGAGAGACAAAACGGCGGGAUCAGCCAGCGGCGGCUUCCCGCAUGCGCGAUUCAUUUGCAUUCUGGACGCGGAGGGGUGAACGUCUCCUGCGCGAGAACUGGGCCGCCUGUGAGUGCUUUGGGACAGGGGUGGGGCCCACGGUAGCAUCCGCUGCUCGUUGAGAAGAGUAAGAACGAUACGUGCUUUCACGUAAGAGUCUCCAAUAUCACCAGAAAAAGUCGCUAGAUUUGUCGCUUUUUUUGAAAAUGUGUCGCUAGAGGGGUCUGUAUACUCGCUAAAUAUAGCGACAAAGUCGCUAAUUUGGCAACACUGACUGGGGCAUGUCCAGGGGCUGCAACGUCACAGGGGGUUCUAGAAAGGUUGGAAUUGAAUGAGCUGCACCUCAUUCAUAGCUCCAUUUACCUUUAACACAUUGUUGUUUUCAUGGUACACAUUAGAUUUUCUGAAUAUAUUAGGGGUCUGUUUAGAAUAUGACUCCCCCUCAGUUUUCUAUUUUGGACUAGUCCAAUACUAGAUUCAAAUCAUCAAAUUUUAUUUUAUUGGUCACAUAGACAUGGUUACUAGAAUACUAGAUUCACAUUAAUCACAUCUGGAACUGGCUACUGUAUCUCUUUGAGAAUUCAGAUUUUUAAAACGGCACAAUGUUUAGAAACCCUAUUGGCCAGCAUGAUAACAUUUAUAAAAUGUCUGCUUUUCAUGACCGCUAACAUGUGAGUGGUGGACAUAAUACAGCCUGUAGCCAGUCAGUCCUAUUCAUAUCAGUGAUGAUGGAGGAAAAGAAACAAUGAGAGGAGUGCAUCAACCUCAACACAAUGAACCCUAGCGAUUUCUAUUGGUGGAGAGUGUAGGACACAAAAUGAUUCACAGCUAUCAAAGAGACCGUUUAGUCUAUGCAAGCUGGUUCAUUGCCUUUAAUAAAGGUCAGGUCAAGUCACAAGACAACCAUUUGGAUUUACACAAGGAGCUUUGGGGGCAGGGGAGGGAGUCUGCAAGAGGGAAAAUAUGUCAUAGGGAGCUGGGAUAUCAAGAAAAUCUAGGUUUAAUCCCCAUUGUAAUCACCACUAUCACAUCAUCAUCUGGUUCUCGUUCUCCAUUUACAAUCAAGUAUUACCCAUCAACAUUUCACCAUUGCCAUCAUUUUAAUAUAAUACAGAACAUGUGCUAAAAUGUGAAGUCCUACUGGAAUUAUUGCAUUUAUACGCUCUUUGAGACCAAGGAAAAUAACUGAUAGAUUUUAUUUAGUACUCUGUGACGUGAUGACUAGGCUAUUUGAACAUGUGUUCGCAGAAUAUGUGUCUGUUAUGUUGCUGUGCUGGAGGUAUUGAUAUUGCAGCAUGGUACGCUACAUGCCAGUGUUCAAGCAAGAUGUUUGAUUGGGUGUUGAAGAACUCCUAGGCCUCUUAUAAAAAAAAAAAAAACUGUUGGUAUGUUAUCAAAAAUAGGUGAGCUUCUCUGUAAUUAAUAGGGAAACAAACUGAGAUUGUUUCCUCUUUUAUCUACUAAAUAAAUCCAGCUAUUUCUCUACUCUCAUCAAUAAGGCAUGCUUUCUACUUGAAUUCUAGGUUCAUCAAACUAUCGAAAUAUUAAUGUAUUACAAAAUACUCCGUAAUGCAUGUAUUAUCAUCAUUUCAUCAUACUUUCAAGGCUAUCCUGGAGGUUGGAGAUGGAUGUAAUAUAUUUGUGUAUAUGCUGAUUUGCUGAGCAUGACUGGCCAAGCUACUACAUACAUUUGUACACCACAUAUUGCAUGUAGAAUAUUUUCAUUCUGAAUCAAAAUUCAUACAAUGUACUAUUACAGUAGCUGCACAGUCUCUCGCACUAACACUGUCUAACAUGUAUGGUCUUCAAAUAAAUAGAGGCUACACUAUUGCUCCAGAGAAAUUGUAGUAUGCAAGUUGUUAAUACAUUUGACAAAUAGACACACCAAGGGAUUUUAGUGUUAACACACAGGGUUAAAAUAUAAUUAAUAUAAUAUUUUUGGCAAUUUAGUGUAUAUGCUUUUGGUUUACACUCCAUUUGUGUCACCAGGGCAGUAAACGCAGGCAGCCAGGCAUAACUUUGACUAUAAUCUCAAUGUACAUAUUGAUUUGGGAUAUAUGGGCAAUUUGACUAUGAAAUGGUAUUACCUCAGCAUCCGUAGAGACUGAAAUGGAAGUCUAUCACAUACAAUUAUUUAAGUUACUUCAUCUGUCACACAAUUAUCUGCCAUUACUGACAUCACUUACACACAGCCUUCCCUAAACCAUGCAUCUUCCCCUGAAUUGAUAUAACGAUAUCUCCUGGUCUAAAACCAUUAUUCAUAAGGGUUCACAUCUAAUCUGCAGGGAUCAUGUAUUUACAGCAAGAGCAUAGAAAUAGCACAUACUAGGCACCAGGGUUGCGAUCAAUUCCAUUUAAAUUUAAUUCAGAAAUUAAACAAAAUUCAAAUUCCAAAUGUUCUAUAUUGAAAAGGAUUCAAGAGAAUUGGAAUUUCAGUGUACUUCCUGAAUUGACUGAAAUUUAAAUGAAAUUAGCACCCCAAACCUGCUAGGCACUCACAAUGGUGUGUUUAAUAUACUUCUUACUUCACUUCAUAUGACCUUUUUCAAAUCAAACAAUAUAAAAUUACUGUAUUUCUACUUCUAACUUACGUAUUAGUAGACCCAGAAACAUCAAAAUGUUUAUCAGUGCAUACUGGAUAAAUAGGGUAUUCAAGUACUGUGUGUGUGUGUGUGUGUCCAGUAUAACUGUUGGAGUGCAUUUGUAUGUUGAUUAAAUGCCUGUAGACCUAUAAGUAGGUGCAGUUAGAGGGGUGGAGCAAAUUCAUGCAUGAGUAUACUAGCAGGGGCCCAAAAAUGUAUUACUUGAAUGUUCACUGAUGUUUAUAUUCACUACAAGCAAGGUCAGACUGAAAUAAACUUAAGAAGCAAAGUGACUCCCCAUCCCCCAUCUCUACCAGCUGCAUGAUAGUCUAUGAACCAAUCAGCAAGU
Molecule: long non-coding RNA, 4245 nt
Filed under: Salmo salar (Atlantic salmon)
Lineage: Eukaryota; Metazoa; Chordata; Actinopteri; Salmoniformes; Salmonidae
Description: lncRNA (ENSSSAG00000121098.1)
Source: RNAcentral